This 422-nucleotide ribosomal RNA is filed under the name uncultured bacterium. RNAcentral describes it as "bacterial SSU rRNA". It matches the Rfam family "Bacterial small subunit ribosomal RNA", at positions 355 to 774 of the family's 1533-position model. The record is from RNAcentral.
UGAGGAAUAUUGGGCAAUGCCCGCAAGGGUGACCCAGCAACGCCGCGUGGAGGAUGAAUGUCGUAAGAUUGUAAACUCCUGUUAGAGGGGAAGAAUAGUACCGGUUGGACCGGUAUAUGACUGUACCCUCAGAGAAAGCCCCGGCUAACUACGUGCCAGCAGCCGCGGUAAUACGUAGGGGGCAAGCGUUGUCCGGAUUUACUGGGUGUAAAGGGCGCGCAGGCGGGAUAAAAAGUCAGUGGUGAAAUCCUACAGCUUAACUGUAGAACUGCCUUUGAUACUUUUAUUCUUGAGUUCGGGAGAGAGAGACGGAAUUCCAGGUGCAGUGGUGAAAUACGUAGAUAUCUGGAAGAACACCAGUUGCGAAGGCGGUCUCUUGGUCCGACACUGACGCUGAGGCGCGAAAGCGUGGGGAGCAAACA